This 169-nucleotide ribosomal RNA is filed under the name uncultured bacterium. Its description in RNAcentral is "partial 16S ribosomal RNA". It matches the Rfam family "Bacterial small subunit ribosomal RNA", at positions 339 to 525 of the family's 1533-position model. The record is from RNAcentral.
CUACGGGAGGCAGCAGUAGGGAAUCUUGGGCAAUGGGCGAAAGCCUGACCCAGCCAUGCCGCGUGAAUGAUGAAGGUCUUAGGAUUGUAAAAUUCUUUCACCGGGGACGAUAAUGACGGUACCCGGAGAAGAAGCCCCGGCUAACUUCGUGCCAGCAGCCGCGGUAAUA